RNAcentral lists this ribosomal RNA (496 nucleotides) under uncultured bacterium. RNAcentral's name for it is "partial 16S ribosomal RNA". It matches the Rfam family "Bacterial small subunit ribosomal RNA", at positions 28 to 507 of the family's 1533-position model. The record is from RNAcentral.
GAUGAACGCUGGCGGCGUGCCUAAUACAUGCAAGUCGAGCGAACGGACGAGAAGCUUGCUUUUCUGAUGUUAGGGGGGGCGGGGUGAGAAAACCUGGGAUAACCUACCUUAAGAACGGGGAAACUUUGGGGAACCGGGGGUUAAUCCCGAAAAAAUUUUUGAACGGCAGGGUUCAAAGUGAAAGGAGGUCUUUGCUGUACCUAUUAGAGGAUCCGCGCUGCAUUAGCUAGUUGGUAAGGUAACGGCUUACCAAGGCAACGAUGCAUAGCCGACCUGAGAGGGUGAUCGGCCACACUGGAACUGAGACACGGUCCAGACUCCUACGGGAGGCAGCAGUAGGGAAUCUUCCGCAAUGGGCGAAAGCCUGACGGAGCAACGCCGCGUGAGUGAUGAAGGUCUUCGGAUCGUAAAACUCUGUUAUUAGGGAAGAACAUAUGUGUAAGUAACUGUGCACAUCUUGACGGUACCUAAUCAGAAAGCCACGGCUAACUACGUG